GUGGCGCAGCCUGGUAGCGCACUUGUUUUGGGUACAAGGGGUCGCUGGUUCGAAUCCAGUC
Molecule: transfer RNA, 61 nt
Filed under: Erythrobacter sp.
Lineage: Bacteria; Pseudomonadati; Pseudomonadota; Alphaproteobacteria; Sphingomonadales; Erythrobacteraceae
Description: tRNA-Pro
Rfam family: tRNA
About the family: Transfer RNA (tRNA) molecules are approximately 80 nucleotides in length.
Source: RNAcentral